Molecule: long non-coding RNA, 3804 nt
Organism: Papaver somniferum (opium poppy)
Lineage: Eukaryota; Viridiplantae; Streptophyta; Magnoliopsida; Ranunculales; Papaveraceae
Exons: 2
Source: RefSeq, a predicted model, not a curated record
UUGUCUCUCUUCCUUCAAACUCUCUCCGCUCUCUUUUCUCCUCCUCGUUGCGGCCGCGGUGGUGUUUUUGCCAGUGACUGUGAAGAUGAUGGCGGCGAACCGGCGGCGGUGGUGGAAGAUCCAUAUCCUAGUUUGAACCUAAGACAAACCGAAGAGAUUGGAUUUUCACUUCAUAUCAAACUAGGAUCUGGAUCUGUACCUCAAGAGAAUAAUCAUAUCUUACAUUUUCACUGAGCUAUUUCCUGAGGCUUAACUAACAGACUUGAGAGAUUUUGGAGACAAGAUGAGAAGACAUGUCAUUAUUCUGAGCAGACACAUAUUUUUGGUUGUCUCCAAUUUGCCUGUAAGUUUGUUAUUAGUUUUAGAAGAUUAUCUUUUUAAAAUUUGCUUAUUUCUAAUGUCAUUGCCUUGUGCCCCUUGUUUUUUGAGGAGAAUGAUAAGGUGGAGGUGGUGAUGCUUUCCCCAGCUGAUCGACUAACAUUAUUAUGUGCGUUUUGUUUUUCUUAACGGAAGAGGUUUUCCUUUAUUCUACGUGAUGAUUGCCAUUUCUCGCAGUCUGGUAGCAAGUAUUUAAGUAUUUCUUACAUUAAAACCACUUGAUUUGUUUUACUGAAGGAAUGAGCACCUAAAGGAAAGAUAGGAUAUGCAUGUGGGUGGCUUACACAGAUAACUGAAUCCUACUACCGUUUUGAGUUUUGACCUUUGCACAUUUUCACUCAAAGGUGGAGUGAUGCUAAACUAUUUUGUGACAGUUGUUUUAUGUAUAGUAGAUCUAUUGAGUUUUUAGUCUUUGUAUCUUUUGUCAAGAGUUGAUUCAAUUGGCUCUAUACUGGAUACAUCUCCUAACCUAACCUAACUUAUCUUUCAUUUAUUUGACUUAAAGUAAUUUUCUUUAGCUGUUUGAGUGGCCCUACAUCUAUCUAAAAUCUGCGUUUUCAUUUCUUGGAUGUCUGAAACAUGUUACAAACUUUUCUUUGUAAUUCUCUUCCUUGAAUUUUCUUGACUCUCUAUUGCCUUCUUUUUAUAAUAAUCAAUCUAUGAAUCCAGCUUUAUCAGUCUGAUAUACUGCUAUUCAGAGUGUAGAUGAUGAUACGCCCUAACUUAAUUUUGCUGUUUGAUUUCAUUUUUAUAUCCUAUGCACAUGUAUUAAAGAUCUUAAAAGGGGAAUGUUGCACACACUGAUGCCUAAAUCUUGACUUAUGGAUCUACUUUCAGAACUUAUUUGUUGUUCCUUCCUAAAUCAUUGUUGUUCUCUUUUAUUUUAAGAUGUUUCCUCAAAUUUGUGGAUUCGUUUAUGUUUCUUUUGAUCAGGGAGUUCUCGUAAACUCUUAACAGGUCUCUAAUUUAUACUCUUCCAAAACCUGCCUCUCACAUGAAACUUUUUUGGUUGGUCCCUUGGCAUUCGGGUGGGACCCACCAUUCCCCAAAAUGGUUAAUUAUUGGGUGUUUGAGCUGGCAGUCUUUUAGAGUGGCUGACCCGGUGUAAAAUGAAUAACCUUUUUGGGAAUGGUGGGUCCCACACGAAAGCUAUGGAACCCACCAAAAUAGCAUUAAAUGUGAUUGUGCGGUUUUGGAUGAGUGUGAAUGUGAAUUUGAUUGUGGCGUGCAUUAGUUCUUAGCUCUGGACUUUCUGUUUCCUUCCUAGUUUAAACAAUUGAUGUUUUCAAAAUCAAAAUUGAGUCUUGACCCUGGAUGUGUAAAUUGGUUGCUUGCCGUAGUGCAAGUUGUGCGAGGCUCGGACAGGCCGGCGUAAAACCUAUGUUCUACUCUUAGGAGAUAUUCUCUAGUCGACCCGGUACUUGCUACUGGAAAAGACUUUGGAUUUGGAUUUGGUAUUGUCGCGCAUGCCUUUUUGACACUGGAUGUGUAAAUUGGUUUAUGAAUUGGAUAUGAUGUCGCGCGAGCAGUUCGGUUUCUUGCAUUCUUAAUCCUCAUAGUUGAUGGAAAACUUGUAUAGCUAGUCUUUAAUGUUUUCCAAUAGAAUAUAAAACCCGCCAUGUGAAAUGUCUUUGUACGUGUUUCGUGGCUUUGUUUAUGAUGAUAAAUCUAAGGCUUGUUUCUCAGAAACAUUCUCAGUUGCCUUUCACAGGGCUUGAGAGCUGAUGCUGCUUUAUUCUUUCUCUGGAUGUCUGUAACAUUUUGGUAACUUUUGUUGUGGUGAUUCUUUUCCUUGUAUAUUCUUGAAUGAUGUGCUGUUGUAUUCCUGAAUGAACAAAGGGGAUUACUAUUGUUCAGAAUCUAGCUGCAAAGGAGACAUAAAAACUUGCGAACAGGUGAAAAAAGAUAUUGCUAGAUUCCCACAUUUCUCCUAUUCUUUUACCAUUUUUGCUAGAAUCUGAUAUUUCCUUUAGUGCUGCUUUUGUCAUUUGUGGUUGUAAUUGUUGUUUAUGAUUAGUGUUAAAUUAGUAUGAAUGACUAUGGGUGACUACCAUGGAUCUCUAGUGAUUGUUUAGAUGAUUGCACAAUCUGAUUAUACAAGGGAUGAAGCAUGGAUAACUAUCUGAAGUCAAACCUUUUUUGUAAAGUCAGCUUCAUUAGUUGUUAUUGUCCUUGUGGUAUAUGUUUUCAUGUGAAGCUAAUAUAAAAUAAAAUAGUUUCCCUUGUGGUCUUGGUCUUCUUGUUUCUUGAGGAGUGUUGGAACUCAAACGAGAUAUAAUAUAUGAACUUAUUAAGUUAUUUGUCAGUUGAGUUAGUAGUCACGAUAUUUGUAGCUUAUAUCAUAUUCUCUGGAGCUGUGAUGCUGUAAUUUUAGUCAAGAGAUUUAUAGAUGGUUGUGCGAUGUUUUUUCAGUAGAGUAUGCCUGGAAAUUUUAAUGAUAUUAUAAGCUUUGCCAAGCAUAGAAGUCCAGUAUUCAACGAGGUUUGGUGAACUGCUGCUCUUUGUGCUAUGAAAGAGCUUUGCUUCUUAAGAAGGUUGCUUUUCACAAAAAAUUCAGCCUAGUAGCAGAGCAGUGAAGAUGAAAAUUUGCUCAUUUACUAAGAUUGUGAUAGCUGAAUAAAAGGCAAUAUGUGGAAUGGUGCUUAUGACCUCCAAAUCCUCAAGUUCUUUGGUUUGCGAUGUAGACAGGUAAAAGCUAUUGAAGCUAGGCAGAUUUUUUGGGCUUUGCCUCCCUAUUCGAUUCAUAAUCUGUUGUGGUAGAGCAACUAGAGGUAAUCUAGGACCAGGCUAUGGUUUCAUCAUCAGGUGUUCUGUGGGAGUUGUUCUGGAAACGGUAGCUGAAGGCGUCGGAAUUGCUUUUAACUUGCUAUCUUCAAUUCUUGCCGUUAUCUUUGAUUUGGAAUUGAUUUGUCAGAGAGGUUUGCACAAAGUUCUGGUAAGCUUCCUUGGACAGUGAUCUCAAGGUGGAAAACCAUCAGAAAGGCCUAUAGUUGAGUGGCAGUCACUUUCUCUGAUCUCCACACUGAAGCUGGUCUAAAAAUCUAUAUCUCUGGAGAUCAGAUCAUUAGAGACGUAAAGAUUUUUGCUGCAGUUUCAGAGGAGAGGGAAACAGUGAGACGGAGACUGACAUGAAGAAGCAAUGCUGAUUGCUGUUGGUUGAGAUAUCAAGAAACUGACAAUCAUGAUUACCUUGUCUCAGUGGACACUGUCAUCGAUCACAUUGGAGCCUGCCGGCUAUUACAUCCAGAGCUGUUGGGAUAUUGAUGCCUUCAACAAAAUCUAAGACCACUGAUGUUGCAUUUAACAAAAAAAAAAAAACGUAAUUACCAACCUAUUUCUUGACAUUUUUGCUUCUAGAAUUUUUUGAGAGUUCAUCCAAACAUUCUUAUAAUAAUGAAGCAGCUUGCAGGUUGUUUAUCUUUUUCU